This 72-nucleotide transfer RNA is filed under the name Ictidomys tridecemlineatus (thirteen-lined ground squirrel). RNAcentral describes it as "Spermophilus tridecemlineatus (thirteen-lined ground squirrel) tRNA". It matches the Rfam family "tRNA". Rfam says of the family: Transfer RNA (tRNA) molecules are approximately 80 nucleotides in length. Their secondary structure includes four short double-helical elements and three loops (D, anti-codon, and T loops). The record is from Rfam by way of RNAcentral. Lineage: Eukaryota; Metazoa; Chordata; Mammalia; Rodentia; Sciuridae.
CGGGUUGUAGCUCAGUGGUAGAGCACUUGCCUUGCAUGCGUGAGGCCCUGGGUUUGGUCCCUAGCACCACGU